CCUACGGGGGGCUGCAGUGGGGAAUUUUGCGCAAUGGGCGAAAGCCUGACGCAGCAACGCCGCGUGGGGGAUGACGGCCUUCGGGUUGUAAACCUCUUUCAGCUCCGACGAAGCGCAAGUGACGGUAGGAGCAGAAGAAGCACCGGCCAACUACGUGCCAGCAGCCGCGGUAAUACGUAGGGUGCAAGCGUUGUCCGGAAUUAUUGGGCGUAAAGAGCUCGUAGGCGGUUUGUUGCGUCGGCUGUGAAAACUCGGGGCUCAACUCCGAGCUUGCAGUCGAUACGGGCAGACUAGAGUUCGGCAGGGGAGACUGGAAUUCCUGGUGUAGCGGUGAAAUGCGCAGAUAUCAGGAGGAACACCGGUGGCGAAGGCGGGUCUCUGGGCCGAUACUGACGCUGAGGAGCGAAAGCGUGGGGAGCGAACAGGAUUAGAUACCCUAG
This 440-nucleotide ribosomal RNA is filed under the name uncultured bacterium. Its description in RNAcentral is "bacterial SSU rRNA". It matches the Rfam family "Bacterial small subunit ribosomal RNA", at positions 338 to 790 of the family's 1533-position model. The record is from RNAcentral.